RNAcentral lists this long non-coding RNA (1204 nucleotides) under Pogona vitticeps (central bearded dragon). Its description in RNAcentral is "lncRNA (ENSPVIG00000014373.1)". The record is from RNAcentral. Lineage: Eukaryota; Metazoa; Chordata; Lepidosauria; Squamata; Agamidae.
AUGAAAAGAUCCGUCCUUCGUCACUUUCCCAACGCGUUGCUCUCUUUCUUCCCUCCUUCCUUCCCUCCCCGCUUUCUGACUUUUGGAAACCCUCAGAAAGAGGCUGACCAAACAUCGUUAGCAAAUAUCCGUCCAAGGCGUUGGCACUUUAAAAACCUGAGAAAAACAGGGCGACGUUGCCCCUUCCCGCCCUUAUUCCUCCCCCCGGUAAGAAUUGCCGUCCGUCUCAGGGAACUGCGCCCGAGGCAUGAGGGGCGCCUCCAGGAGACGUCACUGAAGCCGCUGCCUUACCCCUGGCGGCAGGGCAAGGCUUGCUGGGAUAGCAUCCGGGAACCACAACAGUCCCCCAUUCCAGCAGUUGAAGCCGGAGGGGAGAGCGUGCGGUGGGGCUUGCCUCCAUACCCCAACAGGGGGAAUGGGCUUGGAGUUUGAAAUAACAAGUCUUUCAUUGAAAUGACUCCAGUGCUGUAGCCACCCAAUCUCAGCUUCAGUCUUCUCUUCAGUAUGAGAAUAAUGAUAAUGACUUGCUUCACAUACAGUAGCUAUCCUGAGGACUACAGGACCAUAAGGUAUAUGAGGCACCUUUAGCCACAGAGAAACCAAAAUGGAAAGCAACAAGUCCCAUUUUCUGAUUAGUUAGUUUUGCAGAGCAGAAGUGUGUGCUGCUAUAGAAAUUAGCAAAGAUGUCCAACAUAUUUACACAUUUGUGAUUUGUUUGGAUACUAGCAUAACCACUCUUAGUGUCUUACUGCGGAGGGUGGGUGGGGGUGGAAUCAAUCUUUGUUAAUUUGUAAGCAUUUAAAAAUACUUCUACCAAUUUAAAUUUUAGUGUUCUUGCAGGCUGAAGGGGGCUGUGGCUGAUAGUGUCAUACAACAACCAGUUCUGCAAUGUGUUUUAAUGUUCUGCUGCUGCAAGCAGGGAAUCUGAAAAUGGGCAUCAUAUCUGCACGUCAAGGGCAUCGCUAACAACAGCUUUAAAUAUUAAAUAGCAUUCUUUCCUAUGAUAGCACAGAUCAACACGAGAGAAGAUACUUUUUGUCAGCAUUUUUAUAACAUUACAUAAAAUCCCUGCAUUAUAGGUUGAACGCAUAUGAGAACUAGCAUUUUUAAUGUCUACCUAGGGUGAUUUGGGGACUUUUCUCUGUCUAGUGUACAAGAAAACAAUAUAAAUAAAUAAAUAAAUAAAUAAAUAAAUAAAUAAAUA